Suricata suricatta (meerkat) is the source of this 427-nucleotide long non-coding RNA. RefSeq lists it as uncharacterized. The transcript has 3 exons. Lineage: Eukaryota; Metazoa; Chordata; Mammalia; Carnivora; Herpestidae. The record is from RefSeq and is a predicted model, not a curated record.
AUAGUGGUCAACAGGCCUCUCUUCCCCUAACGCGCUCUGGAUGUCCCCUGGUACCUUACUUCGGAGUGCGGCCCACAGCAUCUGCAUCCUCUGGGAACCUGGUAGAAAUGCACAACCUCAGAUCUGCCAAAUCGGUAGCUGCAUUUUAACAAGAUCGCCAGUAUACUGUGUGAAAGGAAUAAUAUGUGGCAAAUGAUUUCAACACCUGCCAAAAUGAGAAUCAGUUGACCGGCUCGUGAAUGCAUGUGACAACGUAGGUAUGGAGGGCUUUUACCAGAACUAGAAGACACUGGAUUAUGGAAUAUUAGUAGAGGAAAAGACUUCAGCAAUUAUCUGGUUCAGUCUGUCAUACAGAGAUGAAGCCCUCGAGGUGGAGAAAGCUUCUACAACUCCUUAAUAUCCUCCUGCCAGCACGGUGGAACCAAGA